This 21-nucleotide unclassified non-coding RNA is filed under the name Mus musculus (house mouse). RNAcentral describes it as "oocyte_clustered_small_RNA10687". The record is from RNAcentral. Lineage: Eukaryota; Metazoa; Chordata; Mammalia; Rodentia; Muridae.
GAUGGAGCGCAGGAUGAGCGC